RNAcentral lists this small RNA (217 nucleotides) under Pectobacterium versatile. RNAcentral describes it as "GlmZ_SraJ RNA". The stretch from base 3 to 173 matches the Rfam family "Glm Y RNA activator of glmS mRNA". From Rfam's summary of the family: This family consists of a number of bacterial RNA genes of around 167 bases in length. The function of this RNA is unknown. The record is from RNAcentral. Lineage: Bacteria; Pseudomonadati; Pseudomonadota; Gammaproteobacteria; Enterobacterales; Pectobacteriaceae.
GAAGUUGCUCAUUCAACUGGUUAUGAUUGCGUUGCUGACUGGCAAAUAUUUUCGCUCAUAACAUCUGGAAUGAUGCCAAAAGAAAGGGUGCCUAUCGUCCACCAGACCGAUAACCGGGCGUGAAAACGAACGUUAUCAAGCAUCGGGCGACACGUUGAGUGAGGCACCGCCUAUUCAGUUACGCGGCCAGAGGGAGCGAUUCUUCUGGCCGCGUGAC